RNAcentral lists this ribosomal RNA (723 nucleotides) under Funneliformis mosseae. RNAcentral describes it as "SSU rRNA". It matches the Rfam family "Eukaryotic small subunit ribosomal RNA", at positions 376 to 1099 of the family's 1831-position model. The record is from RNAcentral. Lineage: Eukaryota; Fungi; Glomeromycota; Glomeromycetes; Glomerales; Glomeraceae.
CACGACACCGGAGAGGGAGCCUGAGAAACGGCUACCACAUCCAAGGAAGGCAGCAGGCGCGCAAAUUACCCAAUCCCGACACGGGGAGGUAGUGACAAUAAAUAACAAUACAGGGUUCUUUUGGAUCUUGUAAUUGGAAUGAGUACAAUUUAAAUCUCUUAACGAGGAACAAUUGGAGGGCAAGUCUGGUGCCAGCAGCCGCGGUAAUUCCAGCUCCAAUAGCGUAUAUUAAAGUUGUUGCAGUUAAAAAGCUCGUAGUUGAAUUUCGGGAUCAAUAUUUCGGUCAUGCCGUUGGUAUGCACUGUUAUCAUUGAUUUCUCACCUUCUAAAGAACCGUAAUGCCAUUAAUUUGGUGUUACGGGGAAUUAGGACUGUUACCUUGAAAAAAUUAGAGUGUUUAAAGCAGGCUCACGCUUGAAUACAUUAGCAUGGAAUAAUGAAAUAGGACAUCCGAUUCUAUUUUGUUGGUUUCUAGGAUCGAUGUAAUGAUUAAUAGGGAUAGUUGGGGGCAUUAGUAUUCAAUUGUCAGAGGUGAAAUUCUUGGAUUUAUUGAAGACUAACUACUGCGAAAGCAUUUGCCAAGGAUGUUUUCAUUAAUCAAGAACGAAAGUUAGGGGAUCGAAGACGAUCAGAUACCGUCGUAGUCUUAACCAUAAACUAUGCCGACUAGGGAUCGGAUGAUGUUAAUUUUUUAAUGACUCAUUCGGCGCCUUACGGGAAACA